Molecule: long non-coding RNA, 391 nt
Organism: Microtus oregoni (creeping vole)
Lineage: Eukaryota; Metazoa; Chordata; Mammalia; Rodentia; Cricetidae
Exons: 3
Source: RefSeq, a predicted model, not a curated record
AGCAAGCCAGUGCUCUUAACCUCUGAGCCCAUCCCUCCAGUCCCUAGCCUGUUCUGUCAGGGUUUCUCCUCUCAAGUCACCUCUCGAAGAGUCUCUUCCCAUUUCUGGAUGCCGUGAGACACCCUCCUCUACAGCCAUCUCCAUCCGCAGACCCUGCUGCUUUCCAGAGAGGAAGGAGGACAUUGCAGUGCCCAACAACACUCUCCAGGAGGACAUUGCAGUGCCCAACAACACUCUCCGGAAGGACACUGCAGUGCCCAACAACAUUCUCCUCCAGGAGGACAUUGCAGUGCCCAACAACACUCUCCGGGAGGACACUGCCGUGCCCAACAACAUUCUGUUGUGAAUGAUGCUUCUUUGUCUUUCUUAUCUUAGUGAUUCUGGACUCAUG